UGGCUAACUCCUACGGGAGGCAGCAGUGGGGAAUAUUGCACAAUGGGCGAAAGCCUGAUGCAGCAACGCCGCGUGAGGGAUGACGGCCUUCGGGUUGUAAACCUCUUUUAGUAGGGAAGAAGCGAAAGUGACGGUACCUGCAGAAAAAGCACCGGCUAACUACGUGCCAGCAGCCGCGGUAAUACGUAGGGUGCAAGCGUUGUCCGGAAUUAUUGGGCGUAAAGAGCUCGUAGGCGGUUUGUCGCGUCUGCUGUGAAAUCCCGAGGCUCAACCUCGGGUCUGCAGUGGGUACGGGCAGACUAGAGUGUGGUAGGGGAGAUUGGAAUUCCUGGUGUAGCGGUGGAAUGCGCAGAUAUCAGGAGGAACACCGAUGGCGAAGGCAGAUCUCUGGGCCAUUACUGACGCUGAGGAGCGAAAGCAUGGGGAGCGAACAGGAUUAGAUACCCCUGUAGUCCAGCUGG
This 461-nucleotide ribosomal RNA is filed under the name uncultured bacterium. Its description in RNAcentral is "bacterial SSU rRNA". It matches the Rfam family "Bacterial small subunit ribosomal RNA", at positions 329 to 803 of the family's 1533-position model. The record is from RNAcentral.